UACGUAGGUGACAAGCGUUGUCCGGAUUUACUGGGCGUAAAGGGCGCGUAGGCGGCUUUAUAAGUCGGGGGUGAAAGCCUGUGGCUCAACCACAGAAUUGCCUUCGAUACUGUAGAGCUUGAGACCGGAAGAGGUAAGUGGAACUGCGAGUGUAGAGGUGAAAUUCGUAGAUAUUCGCAAGAACACCAGUGGCGAAGGCGGCUUACUGGUCCGGUUCUGACGCUGAGGCGCGAAAGCGUGGGGAGCAAACAGG
RNAcentral lists this ribosomal RNA (253 nucleotides) under uncultured bacterium. Its description in RNAcentral is "partial 16S ribosomal RNA". It matches the Rfam family "Bacterial small subunit ribosomal RNA", at positions 524 to 776 of the family's 1533-position model. The record is from RNAcentral.